UCUKCAUGUYGKGSUCCCYGCACAUCUGGUGCGGCCAACCGACAUGGGGCUGUCUCUUCACUCUCCCUCCCGUCAUUUGAUUUGUCGGGGCKGGRAUGCUCGUGAUCGGUUGCCNGUGCGGCUCUACCCNGUUGNGGGUAGCGAAGUUGUCCCYCGAUUGAUAUUUGCUUGCCYCUCUGACWUUUUUUUGUCGUUUUGGCAGCCGAAAUGAUGGCGAAAUCCCUGUGCAGGUGCGUGGUCGAAUGGCCCCGUUGCUGUAACUNGGAAUUUUGCUGGCUCUCACGGAUGCAGUGCCCAGUGCCGGCUCUGCGUGGCUUUGCCCCGCAGACUUCGGGAGGUCCCUUGUACGAAUCACUGCGAUCAGAUGCCGUUUGUCGUGUUGCUUGUUUGGCACGCAAAUCGUAUUGUUCUGUCCGGAGUCGGGAUGACGAAAGUCAGAAUGAAGUGUCUGGGGCGUGCUCGCGUACACGGGGAAUGCCUCUCCGAUCGUACGAGCAGCGAUUUCCGGUCCGCGUCCUGCGAAGGCCCGCCCGUCCGGGCCGGUGCCGGAGCUGACGCGCCGGGUGUCGUUAAGACGUGCUACCUGGWUNAU
RNAcentral lists this unclassified non-coding RNA (592 nucleotides) under Carex appalachica. RNAcentral describes it as "partial external transcribed spacer". Lineage: Eukaryota; Viridiplantae; Streptophyta; Magnoliopsida; Poales; Cyperaceae. The record is from RNAcentral.